CGCGUAGGCGGCCCGGUAAGUCCGCUGUAAAAGUCCAGGGCUCAACCCUGGAAAGCCGGUGGAUACUGUCGGGCUCGAGUCCGGAAGAGGCGAGUGGAAUUCCUGGUGUAGCGGUGGAAUGCGCAGAUAUCAGGAGGAACACCGAUAGCGAAGGCAGCUCGCUGGGACGGUAUGACGCUGAGGCGCGAAAGCGUGGGAGCAAACA
This 205-nucleotide ribosomal RNA is filed under the name uncultured bacterium. RNAcentral's name for it is "partial 16S ribosomal RNA". It matches the Rfam family "Bacterial small subunit ribosomal RNA", at positions 568 to 774 of the family's 1533-position model. The record is from RNAcentral.